AUUUUUAAUACAGAAAAAGAACGUAAAGAAGAAGAAGAAAGAUAAACUACUUUAUUCUAUUAAAAAAUAAUUUUGAUGCCACGCGAUAGCGAUAAGAAUACAAUUUUCCAAAUUAUCGAAUAUUUGCAAAUGAUGGAAUAAUUGGCGAUGAUAAUAAUGUACCUUUAACACUCGUUUGAAUGUGUAUUUGAAACAUGUAGACAAAUUAAAGAUGUUAAAUUUCUAAAUGUAAUAAUAAUAUAUAUAGCGAAUCCCAAACCUAUCAAAAAUCAUCUUUUCCAGAUAAAAAAAAAAUAAAAAGUAUCCGAUCCAUUGAGUGUGGACAUUAAAUCCGCUCAUCUGUCUUCAUUGAAACUUGAAUAUGACGAACACAACGAAACAAGAUCCUUGAAACAAGCUGAUAACGACGAUAACUCUCAAAAA
This 423-nucleotide long non-coding RNA is filed under the name Polistes fuscatus (common paper wasp). Its description in RNAcentral is "uncharacterized LOC122516885". Lineage: Eukaryota; Metazoa; Arthropoda; Insecta; Hymenoptera; Vespidae. The record is from RNAcentral.